GCUAAUCUAGUUUAAAUAAAAUGUCUCUUUGUGGCAGUGAAGAUAACAAUUUCUUGUUGAUUGGUU
RNAcentral lists this transfer RNA (66 nucleotides) under Paphia euglypta. RNAcentral's name for it is "tRNA-His". Lineage: Eukaryota; Metazoa; Mollusca; Bivalvia; Venerida; Veneridae. The record is from RNAcentral.